CUACGGGGGGCACCAGUGAGGAAUAUUGCACAAUGGGGGGAACCCUGAUGCAGCAACGCCGCGUGGAGGAUGACGCAUUUCGGUGUGUAAACUCCUUUUAUAUGUCAAGAAAAUGACGGUAGCAUAUGAAUAAGCACCGGCUAACUCCGUGCCAGCAGCCGCGGUAAUACGGAGGGUGCAAGCGUUACUCGGAAUCACUGGGCGUAAAGGACGCGUAGGCGGGUUGGAAAGUCAGGUGUGAAAUCCUACAGCUUAACUGUAGAACUGCACUUGAAACUUCUAACCUAGAGUAUGGGAGGGGAAGAUGGAAUUAGUGGUGUAGGGGUAAAAUCCGUAGAUAUCACUAGGAAUACCAAAAGCGAAGGCGAUCUUCUGGAACAAUACUGACGCUAAGGCGUGAAAGCGUGGGGAGCAAACAGGAUUAGAUACCCUAGUAGUC
RNAcentral lists this ribosomal RNA (439 nucleotides) under uncultured bacterium. RNAcentral describes it as "partial 16S ribosomal RNA". It matches the Rfam family "Bacterial small subunit ribosomal RNA", at positions 339 to 795 of the family's 1533-position model. The record is from RNAcentral.